RNAcentral lists this ribosomal RNA (253 nucleotides) under uncultured bacterium. RNAcentral describes it as "partial 16S ribosomal RNA". It matches the Rfam family "Bacterial small subunit ribosomal RNA", at positions 524 to 776 of the family's 1533-position model. The record is from RNAcentral.
UACGUAGGGUGCGAGCGUCGUCCGGAAUUAUUGGGCGUAAAGAGCUUGUAGGUGGUUUGUCGCGUCUGCUGUGAAAAUCCGAGGCUCAACCUCGGACUUGCAGUGGGUACGGGCAGACUAGAGUGUGGUAGGGGAGACUGGAAUUCCUGGUGUAGCGGUGGAAUGCGCAGAUAUCAGGAGGAACACCGGUGGCGAAGGCGGAUCUCUGGGCCGUAACUGACGCUGAGGAGCGAAAGCAUGGGGAGCGAACAGG